GGCUUCGUAGCUCAGUUGGUAGAGCAUUUGCCGUGUUAGGGCAUGUUGUUUCUGUCGCUGGUUCGGAUCCAGCCGAAAUCU
Paragonimus skrjabini miyazakii is the source of this 81-nucleotide non-coding RNA. NCBI's taxonomy places the organism in Eukaryota, Metazoa, Platyhelminthes, Trematoda, Plagiorchiida, Troglotrematidae. The record is from the annotation of a GenBank genome assembly.